RNAcentral lists this ribosomal RNA (446 nucleotides) under uncultured bacterium. RNAcentral describes it as "partial 16S ribosomal RNA". It matches the Rfam family "Bacterial small subunit ribosomal RNA", at positions 338 to 795 of the family's 1533-position model. The record is from RNAcentral.
CCUACGGGAGGCAGCAGUCGAGAAUCAUUCACAAUGGGGGAAACCCUGAUGGUGCGACGCCGCGUGGGGGAAUGAAGGUCUUCGGAUUGUAAACCCCUGUCAUGUGGGAGCAAAUUAAAAAGAUCGUACCACAAGAGGCAGAGACGGCUAACUCUGUGCCAGCAGCCGCGUUAAUACAGAGGUCUCAAGCGUUGUUCGGAUUCACUGGGCGUAACGCGUGCGUAGGCUGUUUCGUAAGUCGUGUGUGAAAGGCGCGGGCUCAACCCGCGGACGGCACAUGAUACUGCGAGACUAGAGUAAUGGAGGGGGAACCGGAAUUCUCGGUGUAGCAGUGAAAUGCGUAGAUAUCGAGAGGAACACUCGUGGCGAAGGCGGGUGCCUGGACAGUAACUGACGCUGAGGCACGAAGGCCAGGGGAGCGAAAGGGAUUAGAUACCCUGGUAGUC